This 247-nucleotide long non-coding RNA is filed under the name Chinchilla lanigera (long-tailed chinchilla). RNAcentral describes it as "lncRNA (ENSCLAG00000023747.1)". Lineage: Eukaryota; Metazoa; Chordata; Mammalia; Rodentia; Chinchillidae. The record is from RNAcentral.
UUUCCACAACCAGAGAAGCAAGAACACAGCCACGGAAAUGACUCAAGAUUUCCUGAGGAAAUCCACUUGAGAGCCGCUUCCCUCCACCACCUCAGAAACGCCAAGGCGCAUGGAACUUGAGAAGCCCCACUCUUACCAGACCCUGGAUCAUUACUACAGCAGGGUUGGGAACUGGAAUCAGAAACAGAUGUUACCAAUUACACAGGAUGUUUGUGGAGAUGCAGUGAAAUCAUGUGUACAAACCUGG